GGGCAGGGUGAGUCGACCCCUAAGGCGAGGCCGAAAGGCGUAGUCGAUGGGAAACGGGUUAAUAUUCCCGUACUUGGUGUUACUGCGAAGGGGGGACGGAGAAGGCUAUGUUGGCCGGGCGACGGUUGUCCCGGUUUAAGCGUGUAGGUGUGUGUUCCAGGUAAAUCCGGUUCACUUUAACACUGAGGCGUGACGACGAGGCACUACGGUGCUGAAGCAACAAAUGCCCUGCUUCCAGGAAAAGCCUCUAAGCAUCAGGUAACACGAAAUCGUACCCCAAACCGACACAGGUGGUCAGGUAGAGAAUACCAAGGCGCUUGAGAGAACUCGGGUGAAGGAACUAGGCAAAAUGGUGCCGUAACUUCGGGAGAAGGCACGCUGACACGUAGGUGAAGUGAUUUACUCAUGGAGCUGAAGUCAGUCGAAGAUACCAGCUGGCUGCAACUGUUUAUUAAAAACACAGCACUGUGCAAACACGAAAGUGGACGUAUACGGUGUGACGCCUGCCCGGUGCCGGAAGGUUAAUUGAUGGGGUCAGCGCAAGCGAAGCUCCUGAUCGAAGCCCCGGUAAACGGCGGCCGUAACUAUAACGGUCCUAAGGUAGCGAAAUUCCUUGUCGGGUAAGUUCCGACCUGCACGAAUGGCGUAAUGAUGGCCAGGCUGUCUCCACCCGAGACUCAGUGAAAUUGAACUCGCUGUGAAGAUGCAGUGUACCCGCGGCAAGACGGAAAGACCCCGUGAACCUUUACUAUAGCUUGACACUGAACAUUGAGCCUUGAUGUGUAGGAUAGGUGGGAGGCUUUGAAGCGUGGACGCCAGUCUGC
RNAcentral lists this ribosomal RNA (824 nucleotides) under Salmonella enterica. RNAcentral describes it as "partial 23S ribosomal RNA". It matches the Rfam family "Bacterial large subunit ribosomal RNA", at positions 1372 to 2179 of the family's 2925-position model. Lineage: Bacteria; Pseudomonadati; Pseudomonadota; Gammaproteobacteria; Enterobacterales; Enterobacteriaceae. The record is from RNAcentral.